This is a long non-coding RNA of Raphanus sativus (radish), 1039 nucleotides long. RefSeq lists it as uncharacterized. The transcript is spliced from 3 exons. NCBI's taxonomy places the organism in Eukaryota, Viridiplantae, Streptophyta, Magnoliopsida, Brassicales, Brassicaceae. The record is from RefSeq and is a predicted model, not a curated record.
AUUACUAAGCGGGAACUAAUUUCGCCAAUACUCGGAUAAAAAUUAAGCGAGCGCCAAAUACAUAAUUUUUCCCUCUCGUGAUAUCACUUUUAGAUACUUAAGCUAAUAAAAAAAAUUAUUGGCCGAUAGACUUGAAAAGAAAAAGUCCAACUCUCUUUAGAAACUGAAACCCUAUUAAAAAAAAGAGUCCCACCGAUAUCUCUUCCUCCUCUCCGCUCCUCUUCUCCUAUCUUUCUCUCUCGACACCGACCAGUCUCCUCCGACUCUCCUUCUCGUUCUCUCCUCCGACAAGAGUCCUCAUGGAAUCGUCGUUCUCCCUUCUUCUUCUGCUAUUUAUUGUUUUGUAUUAGUCAUGGAGUAUGGUUUCAAUUAGUUUUAGUGUUAGGGUUUUGAAUUGGGGAUAAAUGAUUGUUCUGUAUUAGUCCUCGAUUUAGAUUGUUCUUAUCUCUGGUUUGAUUUUUCCUGUCUUUCCAUCUGUGUUUAUGUGUCUGGGUUUCGAUAUAUGGUUCUCCGUGUGUUCUGGUUCUCUCUGUACUACGGGUUUCAUUUUCUGUACAUAAUCAAUCAGUAUAGUUUGGUAACUGGUGUGACUUGUUUUAGCUUUGUGUUGUUCCUUGAUUUUGGAGCUUAAAAGUGCUUAUAACUGUGGUGUUGUGACCAUCAGUUUGGCUGUUGCAUUUGGAAGGCUCAGGACAAUGUUUGGCUGUUGCAAAUACAACAUCAAAUUUGCCGAAAGUUGUGAACGGCUCGAGGAAGAAACCCGACGACUCUCCACCAUCUGCGAGAGGCGAACCCGCGGCAGAGCUUCUCUUCCUCGGUAGCAGAGACGGAGAAGACAGAGGAAGAGGACGACGGCGGUGAAGAUAUAGUGGCCAUAUCAUCUCACCGACUGUGGUUUUCAGUCUACUCCUCAAGGAUGGAGGAGAAGACAUAUCCAGCAGAUGCUUGCUGUUGGGUUCUUUUGUUGUAAACUUUUCAGGUUCUUAUGUUGUUAGGUGACCAGAUACUUGCUGUUGGGUUUGAGGAGGCUGUGGAGUCU